RNAcentral lists this long non-coding RNA (324 nucleotides) under Linum usitatissimum (flax). RNAcentral describes it as "long non-coding RNA (LUSI_LNC001077)". Lineage: Eukaryota; Viridiplantae; Streptophyta; Magnoliopsida; Malpighiales; Linaceae. The record is from RNAcentral.
CUCCAGCUUUCUAGGUCUAAUCUCCGGUGAGCCGACAAGAGAUCCUUCUCGCUGAAGAAAACAGAAUGACGCCGAUCGCCGCUGGUCACUAGCUGCUGAACGUAGCUGGGAAAUCACCGGUGGGAGAGCCUCGUGGGUGGGUGAAUCGAUGAGAAAAUGCUCGUUGCCGCGACGUCGUUAGCUUCUUCAUCAAGAAUACUUCGCUUUCGUGAUUCCGAUUCGCCAUGUCAAGGUCCGGUAUUCUCAUUUAUUUCUCCUUAAUGAUUCUCUCUCGAGUCUUUUUAACGCUUUCCUGGAGUUGAUUGAUUCCAAUUGACUGUUGAG